UACAGAGGGGGCAAGCGUUGUUCGGAACUACUGGGCGUAAAGGGCGCGUAGGCGGCCUUCUAAGUCGAACGUGAAAUCCCCGGGCUCAACCCGGGAACUGCGUCCGAUACUGGAAGGCUUGAAUCCGGGAGAGGGAUGUGGAAUUCCAGGUGUAGCGGUGAAAUGCGUAGAUAUCUGGAGGAACACCGGUGGCGAAGGCGACAUCCUGGACCGGUAUUGACGCUGAGGCGCGAAAGCCAGGGGAGCAAAGCGGG
RNAcentral lists this ribosomal RNA (254 nucleotides) under uncultured bacterium. Its description in RNAcentral is "partial 16S ribosomal RNA". It matches the Rfam family "Bacterial small subunit ribosomal RNA", at positions 524 to 777 of the family's 1533-position model. The record is from RNAcentral.